RNAcentral lists this small RNA (24 nucleotides) under Arabidopsis thaliana (thale cress). RNAcentral describes it as "ATSL296550". Lineage: Eukaryota; Viridiplantae; Streptophyta; Magnoliopsida; Brassicales; Brassicaceae. The record is from RNAcentral.
AACAAAAAAACACAAAAAACACAU